UACAGGGGGUGCAAACGUUGCUCGGAAUUAUUGGGCGUAAAGCGCACGUAGGCGGUCUGUUAUGUCGGAUGUGAAAGCCCUUGGCUCAACUGAGGAAGUGCAUCCGAAACUGGCAGGCUAGAGUACGUAAGAGGGUCGCGGAAUUCCCGGUGUAGAGGUGAAAUUCGUAGAUAUCAGGAGGAACACCAAUAGCGAAGGCAGCUCGCUGGGACGUUACUGACACUGAGGCGCGAAAGCGUGGGGAGCGAACAGG
RNAcentral lists this ribosomal RNA (253 nucleotides) under uncultured bacterium. RNAcentral describes it as "partial 16S ribosomal RNA". It matches the Rfam family "Bacterial small subunit ribosomal RNA", at positions 524 to 776 of the family's 1533-position model. The record is from RNAcentral.